UACGUAGGGUGCAAGCGUUAAUCGGAAUUACUGGGCGUAAAGCGUGCGCAGGCGGCUAUGCAAGACAGAUGUGAAAUCCCCGGGCUCAACCUGGGAACUGCAUUUGUGACUGCAUGGCUAGAGUACGGUAGAGGGGGAUGGAAUUCCGCGUGUAGCAGUGAAAUGCGUAGAUAUGCGGAGGAACACCGAUGGCGAAGGCAAUCCCCUGGACCUGUACUGACGCUCAUGCACGAAAGCGUGGGGGAGCAAACAGG
RNAcentral lists this ribosomal RNA (254 nucleotides) under uncultured bacterium. RNAcentral's name for it is "partial 16S ribosomal RNA". It matches the Rfam family "Bacterial small subunit ribosomal RNA", at positions 524 to 776 of the family's 1533-position model. The record is from RNAcentral.